Molecule: long non-coding RNA, 730 nt
Filed under: Drosophila guanche
Lineage: Eukaryota; Metazoa; Arthropoda; Insecta; Diptera; Drosophilidae
Source: RNAcentral
AAUAGGGUAUAUUAUAUUUGUGCACAAAGUGGACGUAUGUAACACAGAGAAGGAAACGUGUCCGACCCCACCCCCACAAAGUAUAUAUUUUCUUGAUCAGCAUCAAUAGCCGAGUCUAUAUAGCCAUGCCUGUCUGUCCGUCUGUUCGUCUCUCUGCCCUUGUGAGCGCCUAGUACUCAGAGACCAUAAGAGAUAGAGCAACCAAGUUUUGCAUCCAGGCUUCUGAAUCUGCUGUAUAUACUGCCCAAAGCAGAGUGUGAGAGAACGUGAAUUUGCUUGUUGGGUUCUUAUUGCAGUGAAAACGGCCUUUGCGUCCGAGCUGUUUCCAUUUAAUAACAUCAUUUAACACUGCCAGAAGACAGCUUGACAUCCAGCUGCGCCGCCGCCUCCUCGACAAAGUCGACCAUGUGAAGAUGAAAUACUUCCAACCAGGUGCUUUAUUUCUAUGCGCAGCAGUGCCCAGGACAGUGCGGUUAUUGUGGGGCUACCCGCGGUACGAAACGUCACAAGUUCGUUUUCAAGCUUCACACCAAGACCCAGAGGACAACGGAAAUGUGUGGAACAAUGCUUAACCAAGAUUUUCCUUGUGCCUAAAAGGCUGAUAAACAGCUUCGAGGAUUUUAUUAUCGCAUCGUUAAAUAGUUAUUAUUGCAUUUGACAAAAGAGAUACAAAUAAAACCGCCUUUUUCAAAUAUCGAUAUCAAUUGAAAUUCUCACUUUUUUGCAGCCC